This 367-nucleotide ribosomal RNA is filed under the name uncultured bacterium. RNAcentral describes it as "bacterial SSU rRNA". It matches the Rfam family "Bacterial small subunit ribosomal RNA", at positions 527 to 896 of the family's 1533-position model. The record is from RNAcentral.
GGAGGGUGCAAGCGUUAUCCGGAUUUACUGGGUUUAAAGGGUGCGUAGGCGGAUAGGUAAGUCAGGGGUGAAAUCUUCGAGCUUAACUCGGAAAUUGCCUUUGAUACUAUCUAUCUUGAAUAUUGUGGAGGUAAGCGGAAUAUGUCAUGUAGCGGUGAAAUGCUUAGAGAUGACAUAGAACACCUAUUGCGAAGGCAGCUUACUACGCAUAUAUUGACGCUGAGGCACGAAAGCGUGGGGAUCAAACAGGAUUAGAUACCCUGGUAGUCCACGCCCUAAACGAUGAUUACUCGACAUACGCGAUACACUGUGUGUGUCUGAGCGAAAGCAUUAAGUAAUCCACCUGGGAAGUACGACCGCAAGGUUG